Molecule: long non-coding RNA, 276 nt
Filed under: Manihot esculenta (cassava)
Lineage: Eukaryota; Viridiplantae; Streptophyta; Magnoliopsida; Malpighiales; Euphorbiaceae
Description: long non-coding RNA (MESC_LNC012129)
Source: RNAcentral
GUCAAUCGUGCAGAUCGACGAGUGCCUCUCAUCUUGCUUACUAAAAAACAACACACAUCACAUAAAACAUUAGCAUCAAAUGGUUCAUGUGGAAACACAUGAACCCGCAUCACAUACAUAGCAUAACAUUAAUGCACAUGCAUAAAUCAUGGCAUUUCACAUCAUCAUUCAAGACAGGACUCCACAUCCUAUCCUAGUGGACAUGAUUUUUCCUAUUGUGCUUGCCCUUCUAUAACUCCUAUGAGCCCGACACACUCUAGGUCCGACCAUGUGAAC